UACGAAGGGGGCUAGCGUUGCUCGGAAUCACUGGGCAUAAAGCGCACGUAGGCGGCUUUUUAAGUCAGGGGUGAAAUCCUGGAGCUCAACUCCAGAACUGCCUUUGAUACUGGGAAGCUUGAGUCCGGAAGAGGUGAGUGGAACUCCGAGUGUAGAGGUGAAAUUCGUAGAUAUUCGGAAGAACACCAGUGGCGAAGGCGGCUCACUGGUCCGGUACUGACGCUGAGGUGCGAAAGCGUGGGGAGCAAACAGG
This 253-nucleotide ribosomal RNA is filed under the name uncultured bacterium. RNAcentral describes it as "partial 16S ribosomal RNA". It matches the Rfam family "Bacterial small subunit ribosomal RNA", at positions 524 to 776 of the family's 1533-position model. The record is from RNAcentral.